This is a non-coding RNA of Cricetulus griseus (Chinese hamster), 73 nucleotides long. NCBI's taxonomy places the organism in Eukaryota, Metazoa, Chordata, Mammalia, Rodentia, Cricetidae. The record is from Rfam.
GGUUCCAUAGUGUAGCAGUUAUCACAUCUGCUUUAUGCUCAGAAGGUUCUGGGUUCGAGCCUCAGUGGAACCA